GUAUAUGGACUGGUAUAUGGUGUGUAUAUUGGUUAGGUCUACAGUAUAUGGACUGGUACAUGGUGUUUGUAUUGGUAAGGUCUACAGUAUAUGGACUGGUACAUGGUGUAUGUGUUGGUAAGGUCUACAGUAUAUGGACUGGUACAUGGUGUUUGUAUUGGUGAGGUCUACAGUAUAUGGACUGGUAAAUGGUGUGUAUAUUGCAAAGAUCUACAUUAUAUGGACUGGUGCAUGGUGUGUAUAUUGGUAAGGUCUAUAGUAUAUGGACUGGUACAUGGUGUUUGUAUUGGUAAGGUCUACAGUAUAUGGAGUGGUACAUGGUGUGUAUAUUGGUAAGGUCUACAGUAUAUGGACUGGUACAAGCGGUUUGUAUUGAUAAGGUCAACAUUGUUAAGACUGGUAAAUGGUGUUUGAAUUGGUAAGGUCAACAGUAUAUGGAAUAGUACAUGGUGUUUGUAUUGGUAAGGUAUACAGUAUAUGGACUGGUACAUGGUGUGUAUAUUGGUAAGGUCUACAGUAUAUGGACUGUUACACGGUGUUUGAAUUUGUAAGGUCUACAGUAUAUGGACUGGUACAUGGUGUUAGUACUGUUAAGGUUAACAGUAUUAAGACUAGUUCAUGGCGUGUAUAUUGGUAAGGUCUACAUGGUGUUUGUAUUGCUAAGGUCUACAGUAUAUGGACUGGUCCCUGAUGUGUAUAUUGCUAAGGUCUACAGUAUAUGGACUGGUACAUGGUGUAUGUAUUGGUAAGGCCUACAGUAUAUGGACUGGUAAUGAUGUUUGUAUUGGUACGGUCUACAGCAUAUGGACUGGUACAUGAUGUGUAUAUUGGUAAGGUCUACAGUAUAUGGACUGGUACAUGGUGUAUGUAUUGGUAAGGCCUACAGUAUAUGGACUGGUACAUGGUGUGUUUAUUGGUUAUGUCUACAGCGUAUGGACUGGUACAUCGUUUGUAUAUUGGUAAGGCCUACAGUAUAUGGACUGGUACAUGGUGUGUAUAUUGGCAAGGUCUACAGUAUAUGGACUGGUACAUGGUGUGUAUAUUGGUUAUGUCUACAGUAUAUGGACUGGUUCAUGGUGUUUGUAUUGGUAAGGCCUACUGUAGAUGGACUGGUACAUGGUGAUUGUAUUGGUAAUGUCUA
This 1141-nucleotide long non-coding RNA is filed under the name Salmo salar (Atlantic salmon). RNAcentral describes it as "lncRNA (ENSSSAG00000083755.1)". Lineage: Eukaryota; Metazoa; Chordata; Actinopteri; Salmoniformes; Salmonidae. The record is from RNAcentral.